GACGAACGCUGGCGGCGUGCUUAACACAUGCAAGUCGAACGGAAAGGCCCUGCUUUUGUGGGGUGCUCGAGUGGCGAACGGGUGAGUAACACGUGAGUAACCUGCCCUUGACUUUGGGAUAACUUCAGGAAACUGGGGCUAAUAUCGGAUAGGAGCUCCUGCUGCAUGGUGGGGGUUGGAAAGUUUCGGCGGUUGGGGAUGGACUCGCGGCUUAUCAGCUUGUUGGUGGGGUAGUGGCUUACCAAGGCUUUGACGGGUAGCCGGCCUGAGAGGGUGACCGGCCACAUUGGGACUGAGAUACGGCCCAGACUCCUACGGGAGGCAGCAGUGGGGAAUAUUGCACAGUGGGCGGGAGCCUGAUGCAGCAACGCCGCGUGCGGGAUGACGGCCUUCGGGUUGUAAACCGCUUUCGCCUGUGACGAAGCGUGAGUGACGGUAAUGGGUAAAGAAGCACCGGCUAACUACGUG
Molecule: ribosomal RNA, 468 nt
Filed under: uncultured bacterium
Lineage: Bacteria
Description: partial 16S ribosomal RNA
Rfam family: Bacterial small subunit ribosomal RNA
Source: RNAcentral